AUUGAACGCUAGCGGGAUGCCUUACACAUGCAAGUCGAACGAGUGGCGAAAGGGUGCGUAUUGUAUCGGAAACUGCCCGUUGGAGGUGGCUAACUACUGGUACCGGUAGCUAAUACCGCAUCCUAUCGGAUUUGCCCAGAUGGGUUUAGCUUGUGGGUGGGGUAACGGCUCACCUGGGCGACGAUCCCUAGCCGGGCUGGGAGGAUGACCAGCCACACUGGGACUGAGACACGGUCCAGACUCCUACGGGAGGCAGCAGUGGGGAAUAUUGCACAAUGGGCGCAAGCCUGAGGCAGCCAUGCCGCGUGUAUGAAGAAGGCCUUCGGGUUGUAAAGUACUUUCAGCGGGGAGGCGUUACUCGCAGAAGAAGCACCGGCUAACUCCGUGCCAGCAGCCGCGGUAAUAC
Molecule: ribosomal RNA, 406 nt
Filed under: uncultured bacterium
Lineage: Bacteria
Description: partial 16S ribosomal RNA
Rfam family: Bacterial small subunit ribosomal RNA
Source: RNAcentral